Small nuclear RNA from Heterocephalus glaber (naked mole-rat), 199 nucleotides. Its record names the gene U2. It matches the Rfam family "U2 spliceosomal RNA". From Rfam's summary of the family: U2 is a small nuclear RNA (snRNA) component of the spliceosome (involved in pre-mRNA splicing). NCBI's taxonomy places the organism in Eukaryota, Metazoa, Chordata, Mammalia, Rodentia, Bathyergidae. The record is from Ensembl.
AUCACUUCUCGGCCUUUUGGCUAAGAUCAAGUGUAGAAGCUAAAGGGAAGUAAAAUGAUUCUGUUCCUGGUCACUAAUUGCAAUCUUAUCUUCUAUACCUGAAAUUCUGUCCUCUCAUUGGCUCAUUCUGCUGUGUAGACUUUCAAUGGAGUUUUUCAUGUCCUGGAAAUCUAUUUGCAUCUGUUUUAUGGAUUCCAUU